Molecule: ribosomal RNA, 157 nt
Filed under: uncultured bacterium
Lineage: Bacteria
Description: partial 16S ribosomal RNA
Rfam family: Bacterial small subunit ribosomal RNA
Source: RNAcentral
GAAACCCUGACGCAGCGACGCCGCGUGAGUGAUGAAGGCCUUCGGGUCGUAAAGCUCUGUCUAGUGGGAAGAAGUGCAUGGGGGUUAAUAGCUCGUGUGUUUGACGGUACCACUAAAGGAAGCACCGGCUAACUCCGUGCCAGCAGCCGCGGUAAUA